GAUGAGCGCUGGCGGCGUGCCUAAUACAUGCCAUUCGAGCGAACAGACGACGAGCUUGCUCUUCUGACGUUAUCGGCGGACGGGUGAGUAACACGUGGAUUACCUACCUAUAAGACUGGGAUAACGUAGGGAAACCGGCUCUAAUACCGAGUAAUAUAUUGAACCUCAUGGUUCAAUAGUGAAAGACGGUUUUGUUGUCACUUAUCGAUAUAUCUUCGCCGCAUUAGCUAUUUGGUAAGGUAACGACUUAACAAGUCAACGAUGCGUAGCCGACCUGAGAGGGUGACAGGCCACACUGGAACUGAGACACGGUCCAGACUCCUAAGGGAGGCAGCAGUAGGGAAUCUUCCGCAAUGGACGAAAGCCUGACGGAGCAACGCCGCGUGAGUGAUGAAGGUCUUCGGAUCGUAAAACUCUGUUAUGAGGGAAGAACAAAUGUGUAAGUAACUAUGCACGUCUUGACGGGACCUAAUCAGAAAGCCACGGCUAACUACGUG
RNAcentral lists this ribosomal RNA (497 nucleotides) under uncultured bacterium. RNAcentral describes it as "partial 16S ribosomal RNA". It matches the Rfam family "Bacterial small subunit ribosomal RNA", at positions 28 to 507 of the family's 1533-position model. The record is from RNAcentral.